Salvia splendens (bonfire salvia) is the source of this 216-nucleotide long non-coding RNA. RefSeq lists it as uncharacterized. The record is from RefSeq and is a predicted model, not a curated record. NCBI's taxonomy places the organism in Eukaryota, Viridiplantae, Streptophyta, Magnoliopsida, Lamiales, Lamiaceae. The transcript is spliced from 3 exons.
AGUGAAGGGCUGCCCAAUCUUCAUUCAUUAAACAUCCAAGUCAUAGAACCUAGACCGAGACUAACAAUCAUCCAACCUCUUCACAAAUCUAUUGGCAGAAGGUGGUUCGCACGCUCGUUAAAGUCGGAUCAAGAAGUUUGUUAAGGAAACUACUAAGCUUUUGAGGUUGAGCGUUGAUGAGGACGGAGGAUGUUGAGCACUGUAUUCAAUAAAUGU